CAAGAUUUUAAAUUACGACAGGUUAUUUUCAAGCUAAUGCAAGGUUUUGUAAUGACUGGACUGGUCCCUUGUGUUACCAGAUAUAACCUCUGCAGCUAUUACCUCCAUAUGCAGGAUAAAGGCUAGCAGAAAUACCUGGGUCCAUUAGCCCAAGCUUUGUUUGACUACAGCAGCCCUAAGCUAGAAUGUCAAGAGCUUGGAAUGUCAAGAGCUGAUCUGCAGCAGUGUUACACAUUGAGAACUGUACUUCCAAGUACUCAAAAUCGAUAGAUGCUUUGACCUUUUACUUCACAUGCCUCAUUCCUGCCUCUGAAAGAAAAGCAUUAAAGGAUUGUUAUAGAAAUGAACUAAUUAAUAUCUAUGAAGCACUUAGUACCGCGGCACGUCCCACAGCAAUGAAUAAUUCUGUCCUCUGACAAGAUUUGACAAGUAGUGAGUAAAUAAUACAUUAGGCCGCACAGCAAUAAGAACAGUAAAGAAGGAGGAAAACUGAAUACUAAGAUAGUAGUCAAAUGGAAAAUAUACAGUAGAGUUAUAUAAUUGGACAGUACAUCAUA
Molecule: long non-coding RNA, 557 nt
Organism: Neopsephotus bourkii (Bourke's parrot)
Lineage: Eukaryota; Metazoa; Chordata; Aves; Psittaciformes; Psittacidae
Exons: 3
Source: RefSeq, a predicted model, not a curated record